This 13253-nucleotide long non-coding RNA is filed under the name Pelobates cultripes (western spadefoot toad). Lineage: Eukaryota; Metazoa; Chordata; Amphibia; Anura; Pelobatidae. The record is from RNAcentral.
GAACAACUACAGCUUAUUGAACUUGUUUUGGUGAGUAGAAUCAUUACCUUCAGGCUUUUUGCUGAAAACACUAACUUUUGAGAGAAAAUGCAGUGUUUACAUUACAGCAGACUGCUUGUUUUUCUGAGUCUAACAGCAUGCAGAGUUAUAGCUUCAGGCUUGAAUACAGUAAGAUUUUUACUAUAUUUAUCGAGGCAUGAGGGGCCCAAGUGGGUUAGAUGGUGGUUUUAACACUAUAGGGUCAGGAAUGCAUGUUUGUGUUCCUGACCCUAUAGUGAUCCUUUAAUGAAGAUGUCACAUUAGAGGCAGCAGUCCUGGGGAUUAGCUGCAAAUCAUGGACUUUGGGAUGUGAUAAUUUGUUUGUUUGUUUUUAUGCAUUAUGUCCAUGAUAGAGUAAAGGCUUAUGACAUCAACCCAGAGAAUCGAACUCUACGCCCUAAUAUCAGGGUCAUUCGAUCUCAAUUUAUACAUAUUAUGCAGGUUAAGCAAGAAAAAGCAGAUAAGCUUCUCAUCUGCAUUCGUUGAAGACUGACGUUCAAACACCACUGCCCUGCUACAUUGUAAUUAAUAUAGUUAAAAUAUUGUUAAACCAUCACAUCCAUCACAAGGUAAAUAAGUCUGACUGACAAGGACAAGUCACGGUGACUAACAUUUUAUUUGUGUUACUUAUAAAAAAUUGAUGCACGAAUGAGACACACGAAAGGUCAAAGUAUAUUGUCUAAAAUAUACAUAAAGGGGAUACGGAAUCCUAACUAACAUUUUAGACAGCAUAGAAUUAUUCACAACAUUUUAGACAAAGAAGGAAGAGGUAAGUAAUUUAGUUGGAGAAUUUCACUAUAGCUGCUACAAAAAGAGUUCUGUUGUCAAUUUGCUAUUAGCCAGUCAGACUAAAAAAAAAUAUACAAGAGAUAGGUUCAUGUUCGGACAUGAGACAGUGUGAUAACCUAUACUAUAGCAGAGGCUUCCUUAGUAUCCCGGUAAGGCAGACCACUUUGCACACAGGGACAAGAGUGGAGACAGCACUAGAGCUACAAGAAGCCAGUGGGUACCUUGAUAAUGUAGGCUGGGUAAGAUGUAGAGAAUUUUAGGUAGAAAGCCUUCUCUAGAUGGGUAGAAGGUAUUGUAGUAAUACAUUUUUGCUACAAAUUAUCAUUUCUCAGAGGGCUGCUGAAGCCAACCAGGCCACUUUAUCAAUGUUUCCAACCCAAUGCUUCUCAUAGAGAAUGUGGAGUGAACACUGCACUUAUUAGAUCAAAUGCUUCUCAUAGGGAAGCAUUGAAUCCAAUACAAUGGAAUCUCGGAACUCGAACGUUCCUGUGCACGAACAAUUUGAACUAAAAGUUUGAGUAAAAAAGGUCUCGGUACGCAAAUGAUCUUUGGUACACGAACAUCAAAGAGCCGCUCACCGGAGCCAUGUGACUCCUCCAGCCAGCUCUCUCAUGGAGUUAAGAUGAGGCCCAGCUGUUACAGGAUGAGUGUGUUCUACUGACCUGCAGAGAGGUACCUACCUUGCUCCAUCCCUAGCACACUCUACCUACCUACACCACCCAGGGCACCUCCCUACCUACCUACACCACCCAGGGCAGCCCUCCAGCACGCAGAGCACACUCUACUAGCAUCCAGCAGCUCCCAAGACAGCCCGGUACAGCUGCCCCCCUUUGCUCCCUGCUGGCAGCCAGUCCUGGCAGAUAUGGGCAGACCAUCCUCAGUGGGGGCAAAAUACACCUUUACUUGGUAAAUGCCGGAUUGCUCUCCCUGGGAACUUAUCACCAAGAGGCAACAUGUUGCUCCGAAACGGCGUGCUGGGCUUCUCGCUGUACUUACUGCUUCUGUAGGAGACCCCGAGCAGGAGAAUCCCCGUGGACACCGGUCAGUGCACCUUCCCCAAAGAAGUAAGUACUGGAGCCAGACAGGCACGUGUGCAGUGUGUGUAUUAUGUCAGCUAUGUGUUUUUUACUAUGUCAGCUAUGUGUGUGUGCGUGUGUGUUUGUGCGCAAUGUCUGUUAUGUGUGUUCAGUGUGUGUACGAACAGUGGUCCCGUUUACAAUGUAAAAUGCUGUAAUUUUUGGGGUCUGGAACGCAUUCAUCAAAUUUACAUGCAUUCUUGAACGGAUUAAGUUCGAGUUCCGAGGUUUCACUGUACUUCCCUAUGAUCAGCAUUUGAUGACUCUUGCUAAUGUUUUUCUUUGCAGGGGUAAACACACCUCUAGUGGCUGCCUUCCUGACAGAGAGCAUUUUAUUGAAGCAGUGCGGUGAUUAGCGUGCAUGUGCAGUAGCCUCCCAAUGCUAAGGAAAACAUUGGAUUGGCUGAGAUCAUCAAUCUUGAUGAUCCCAGCCAGGGAGGCAGGCAGGCACUGUGGCAACACGGAGACUGGCACAGUGAGGGCUGGAAGGUAAAUGAGGCUUUUUUCAUUGCAAGUGGGGGGCAGUGCAAGUGGGGGGCAGUCAACUAAAUAGUCAGUAGGACACUACAUUGUCAGGAAAAUAUGUUUGUAUUCCAAAUACUAUAGUGUUCCCCUUAAUAUCUGGGUUGCUUAGUUCAAGUUGAAAAUUUACAACUGACCUUUUUUUUUUUUCUUCAUACAUCUAAACCAAAGCGGCUCACAUAUAACUACACCCCUAACACAAGAAACCCAUAUUGACCUUUUAAAGGACCACUAUAGUGCCAGGAAAACAAACUCGUUUUCCUGCCACUAUAGUGCCCUGAGGGUGCCCCAACCCUCAGGGUCCCACUCCCAUGGCCCUGAAGGGGAAGGAAGGUGUUAAUCCCUUACCUUUUUUCCAGCGCCGGGCUCCCUCGGCGCUGGGACUCUCCUCCCUCUUCUGAGGGCACCGGCUGAAUGCGCAUGCGCGGCAAGAGCCAGUCUCAUAGGAAAGCAUUCUUAAUGCUUUCCUAUGGACGCUGGCGUCUUCUCACUGUGAAAAUCACAGUGAGAAGCGCGGAAGCGCCUCAAGCGGGUGUCAAUGAGACAGCCACUAGAGGCUGGAUUAACCCUAUUGUAAACAUAGCAGUUUCUCUGAAACUGCUAUGUUUACAGCAAAAAGGGUUAAACCUAGAUGGACCUGGCACCCAGACCACUUCAUUAAGCUGAAGUGGUCUGGGUGCCUAUAGUGGUCCUUUAAAACAUAUUAGUUAAAGCAUAUAUUUGUGUCCCAUGUCCCUUAACCUUGCAAUGGUAAUUACUGCAGCUUUUGCGAAACUGAAAUAAUUACAUUGCAGGGUUAACUCCACCUCUAGUGGCUGUUUACCAGACAGCCACUAGAGGGACUUGCGGGUGGUUAGGCGACUUUUGGUCGUCUAACUGACACUGGACGUCUUUACGCUAUGCAUGAAGACAUCUAGCGUCAUCCAGAAUCCCCACUUGAAAGCAUUAUACAAUGCUUUCCCAUGGGGGAAAUCCUAAUGAGAGCGUGGCGAGGAUUGGAGCUGGAGCCUGAACCAGCGCCAAGGGACAUUGGUGCUGGACUCAGGUAAGUGACAGAAGUGGUUUUUAGACACUAUAGUUUCCCUUUAGUUUUCCAACAUAUGCGCAAUUUCCUACAAGAUCAUCUAAGAGAACUAUCAUUGCUCAAUAUACAGUAUUAGGUCACCCUUACCGCAUAACCUCAGUAGAUAAAUCACAACUUUUCAGGGGACAAUAUCCUUGUUCCACUGAAAGUGUAUAAAAGGAACCUUCUUACUCAGACCUUCUUUCUAACCAAUCGAUCAGGUAUAUGUUUCUAAUCUGUAAGUGACUGCCAAGAAAGAUCGACCAGGACAACAAUUGACCCGUACCACUUUAAAAUGUCUUCUACUGCUACAAACCUUAGCAGAAAUCUCCUUUUGUAUGGAGUUAAUCCAUCUAUCGAAAAUAUCACGAUCUUAAAGAAGUGGACGACUAACCACUGUAAAAUUACACUUUGGUCCAUGGUGGAAUAAUAUUGACCACAAAUGUGUGCACUGACUUAUGUUAUUCCCCUCUUUGUGGUUGUUCUCAGUUCCUUAUUUAUAAAAAUGUUUGUAAAAACAAAGAAAUGGAAACAAGUAACACAUGAGAUUCCAUUCCUGGCGUUCAGAUGAUGCAAUCAGUGCUUUAGUUAUGUUGACGUUUUCCACUGUACUAGCUGAUAUCUGACCUCCUACCUAAGCCCUGGAGGGCAUGUUUGUACACUUGUGUUUUGAAAGUUCUUGUACAUUCAUGCGAAAGCAGAAUUAUGCCCAUAUGUUAAAGUUAUGAAUAUUUAUACGUGUUCCAAUUCAUUUACCUAGAACUGUUUUCAAUCAAUCCCGUGUUAUAAGUUAGAAAAAGUGACAGGCAGUGAUUCAAACUGGGAACAUGGAAAUAACUAUACAUCUCAUACAGUAAUGUGAUCAUAUUCAUGACAUGUUCUAGAGAGCCUAUUAGAGCUAAUAAGGACCUGUAUGAAAACAUACUGGGAUACCUUGAUAUGUGCAAUUGGCUCCCCUGCCCUGUUCUAACUGCACUCGACGCUUAGACAUGUAGUAAUGUGCAAAAAUGUUUGCAGCUGUAAAAUCAUCCCCUGUUCCAGCAUUGUAAGUCCUUGCGUAGUGUGUUUAUGAACAAUGUAUGCAAGAAAUAUAGGCCCACAGUAUCUGUGACAGCUCCCUCACAGACUUCUAUGAGAGAACCCGCGCCAUGGACAAAGGUAGCUCCAUUUUGCUUAAAGGGACACUAUAGGGCAGCAGUGACCUUCAGCAUCUCCACGCUCUGCUUAAAAGUAAGGAGAGGGGAGCCUAAACUGUGCUAUAUAUGUUUGUAUUCCUGACAUUAUUGUAUUCCUUUAACCCCUUAAAGACACGACAUGUGUGACAUGUCAUGAUUCCCUUUUAUUCCAGAAGUUUGGUCCUUAAGGGGUUAAAGCAGGAGAACCAUGGAGAGCCAGCCCUGCUGUCUGCCUUUUUUGGGCCGGUGGGGAGAUCAAACAUCUCCCUCUCUGGUCUCCGGGCAGUGUGUUAAGGGAGAGGGAGGGAGCUAGGACUCAGAAGCCUGCUGGAUAGGAGGAGGACCCAGGAGGCUGUGAUCCUCCCGCGAGCAUGCAGGUAGGAGCGUUGCCGCACGUUACCAUGGCAACGCUCCAACAGCGCUGUGCUCGCUGGAAGAAAAUAGUGAAGUCAGCCUGCAGUGGGAGGAGCUGCAGGCUAAGGUGCAUGCAAAACCACUGAACUACCAGGGAUUGCAGUGAUAUGUCCUAUCCUUCCAGGCCAGAGGUAGGAAGGAGGGGGGUGCAUACUUUUUUUCCCUCUUUUUAAGUAAAACAUUUUAUAAAAUAGAUUCUCUCCCUGAUCCCCCUCCCCACCACACUAUAGACCACUGACACACUACACCACCUUACACGCAUACUGCACUCCCCCCCACACACAGAACCCCUCACACAAACACACUACAUCCCCUCACACAAACACACUGCACCCCCCCACACACACAGAACCCCUCAAACAAACACACUGCACCCCCCACACACAGAACCCCUCACACAGACAAAUAACCCCUCACACACAAACACACUGCACCCCCUCACACACUACACCCCCUCACACACAUAAAAACAUAACACCCCUCACACACACCCAAAUCCUCACACAAACACAUAACUCCUCACACAAACAAACUGCACCCCUCACACGCAUACUGGACCCCUCUCACAAACACAGCAUCCCUCACACAGACACCCACUAUACCCCUCACACACACACACACCACACACACACAGAACCCCUCACACUCACUGCACCCCCUCACAUACACACUGCACCCAUCACAUGCACUCUGGACCCCUCUCACAAACACAGCAUCCCUCACACAAACACACUACACCCCCCAGACACAGAACCCCUAACACACACAGAAUAACUCACACAAAAAACCUGCACCCCCCUCACACACACACUGCACCACUCACACACAAACACUGCACCACACACUCUGCACCCUUCACACACACACACACACACUGCAAGUAGCAACAUCAUAUCAAUACCAGUUAACAUCACACCAAAGAGAAUCAGUUCCAGCCAUCACAUUAGGAGUUAGUUAAUUAAAUGUUUGACCAAAUACAGCAGGCUAAUUUUUAAGUUGAUAAUUUUGUAUGGCUCGUGAAUGAUGUUUUCAAAUAUCCAAAUGGUCCCCUGCUUUAAAAAAUUACUCCAAGCACCCUAACCAUGUUAGUAAUUUGAAGUGGUCGUGGUAUUUAAGUAAAGUCUGUGCAGCAUUUCAUGGAGAAGCACAGCACAUAAAAAGUUAAAGCACAUAGCUGCUGGAAGUGAAAACAUCAUUACUUUUGUUCCAGGCUGGCUAAUGUCAAUUAUGUACACAGUGGGCAUCUCUCUUUCAUCAGCACGCAUAGCAUGCUGAGAACACAUGACCAGUAGCAGCAUCCCACCCCCGGUCGCACCAGUCCUCCCCUUCCCAUCAGUCCAUCCCCAGGGAUGUCCAAGGGCCCCAAGGGAGCGAUGUCACUGGAGAAGGAUAGGGCUAAGGAUCUACAUUUGCAUUGAUUGCCCUGGCUAUGCCGUGUCUGUAGUGGAUUAUGAUGUAAUUUGAUGCAUUUUUGAUAAAAAAAUAAAUAAAUAAAUAAAAACCAAAAAACAGAGCAUCUCAUGGAAAAAUGUUGACCGUGAUGGAGUGGUGAGACAUGCCAGCAAUGGUUACCUCAUCUUAAACAAUCUUUUAUUAAAUAUUGUGUAUUGGUUGGAGUAACCUAUUCAGAUAUAAAGAAUGUCAAACCGUCAGAAGCCCCAUCAGCUGUGCAAGAUCAUUCACAUCUUUUCCUUGAUUUAAACAGUUUUUUGUUUUUUUUUACCAUUACGUUUACAUAUCCCUAUAUUUAACAAAUAUGUAUUUGUGAUGUGUGAAAAAUAAAAUUAAGUGUAGAAAAUCACUCAUCGGGGGGCGGAGCUUGACCGCCAUGCAGACAUGUCGCAGCUACCCGGAGCUCCGAUCAAGAGGCCGACAAAUACACCCAACUUGCGGCAAUCCAGCCAAGUUAAAUGGGUACCUCAACUACCCACCCCACGGAGCACCCAGUGGGCAAAGGCACUAUGCACCAUCCGGGCGCACUUACUGAGGCAGGUCGGACUUGGGGCCUAGCAGUUGAUGCGGGGCGGGAGAUGCGGCCGGUCUCCCAGCCCUGAAGUCCUGCAGGACACCGCUUAUCCCGCCCCUCCCCCCCCCCAUGGACCGGCGUGGGUCAUCCCGGUCCACCACGGCAUCCACACAGCCCAGCGUCUGCACACACAGGCCCUACCAGACAGGCAAGGACGGGAGGCUGCAGAGAAAAUCCGCUCACCUAAGAUUGCGGCAGCCACAUGCAAAGCGGGUCCCAUAUACCGCAGAGAGAAGCUGAUGACAUACCUGGAUCGGCUCUAUACAGCACUGAACGGCAGGAGCUGGAGAGCUCAGAAGCAACACCACUACAACAGCAGACCCCAUGGGGGCGAAAGCAGGAGGGAGAACCCCCUUCUCACUCACGGAAGGGAGAACAUCCCAAGUGUUGGGGCAAGCGCCGCUCACGAAACCGGGUCCAAAAAGCCAACACACAGAACCAGCUGUCACACACCAACCCCAAUUCAGACACAACCUAGGAUGGAAAGAUCCAGCCUCAAGAGGGGUGGAAAACGUGUACAGACCCUGGGACUAAAUGUAUUAUGAAGAGUGGUUUUUAUCUUAUGUUGCAAUCUCUCAGCCACAGUCCCCCCCACCCCUCCACCCCCUUAUUUUUGCUCUUACCGCCCAGGGCUCCCUGUAGUGCAGUAGAUAAGAACAAAAAUGUUGUUGUUUGCCAUGAAUCUUCUACCCCAGCUGUGAAGAUGUCUCAAAAUGCCUGUUCCUUAAUCUUGUCUCUAAGCUAACGCAUUAUAAGCAAAAUCUUACCUGCUACUUGUUUUGACACUAGCAUGUUCCACAAUCUAUCUUACACCUAUACUCACCAUGUCUGAUACAGCAUAACUCAAUAUUUCCCUCUCACUAUAAAGCCUGGGCAUGACAGAAUUCAACUGGACUCUAAACUAUGUUAUUAAAAAAAAAUGUGCAGCAUACUCAAAUGCCAUACAUAUGUUAAGCUUUGUCUAAUUGCCUGCUUGUCACUGCUGUUGGGGCAUUGACAGGAUGUCUGUGAAUCAAACGCACACAAAAAUAAAGAAUAAAAAAAAAGAAAAUCACUCAUCUUUAUGCUGUUACUGGACGCCUCCAUCUACGCUUCUGUCAAUCAUUGUUCUAAACUCAGUUAGCAUUGAGAAAUCAUACAAAAAAGGAGAAAUUAAACAAUUUCUAUUUCUUCUUUUUAUUUGCAAUGUUGGCACUGGCUUUUAAUUGUAUGAACUGUAUUAUGAUGUCAUUUGCUACAUUUUUAUAUAUUAUUUCAAAGAAAACAGCAUCUCAUAGAAAGGAAGCUAACACACAUUAGAGGUGAUUUUCCAUGUUUUAUUCAAUGGCAUAUAUUCCUCAGAAAUGACAGAUCCCCUAUAACAGGAGUGGGCAGCCUUUUAGUAUUACUGUGCCAAUAUAAGAUCUUUGAGUCCAUUGCCGUGCCGGUUCUAUUCUAAUAAAUUGAGAUGUGAAUGUUGCCGUAUUCUGUGCUAUUUAUGGGUGCUACAGUUUCUUUGUAUCCUUGUAGUUGUGAAUAUGUUGGGUUGUUAUAUUGUAGAUGUUCAUAAGUGUGUGACAUUGUGUAUGAUACUUAUAAAUGUGGGCCGUGUAUAGGGGCUGCUUAUGGAAUUGUGUGUGGAUAAUAUGUUACAUUGUGUGUUUAGUGUGUGUGUAUAUGUGUGAGGCUGCUUGUGGUAUUGCAUGUGAGAGGCUGCUUGUAGGGUUGUGUAUGUGUGGAUUGUCUUUGGUGUUGUGUCUGCUGAUGACUGUGUGUUUGUGUAUUGGUUGUUUGUAAUAUUUGUAUGAGGGGAAGGCUUAUUCUGCAGCUCUGUGUUUAUAUACUGUGGAGGGCUAGCCUGUGGUCUAGUGGGGACCAGAUUGGCCAGGUACUGGGGAGGAGCUGCGAUAACUGCUGCAGUUUGCUCUACUCCAGUGCAGAUUCCCAUCCACAAGUGCUGGGAUAAAGAGAUCUGAGAUCACUUCCUCUAAGUGCUCCAAUACGUAAAUUGAGGAUUGUCCCUCACCACCUGCAAUCAUCGCUCAGUUUGCACUAGCAGUUUUCUGACGUCUCACUUAAACUCCUGAUAGGCCAGAGCCCGUUUGUCUCUGGCAGCUUUGAGUGCUGUGCAUAGACACCUCAAGUGCUAGAGGUUGCUGACCUCUGCCCUGUAACAUCUAAAAGCAGGUUUCAGACUCUUCCUGAUUUUUGGAGAACAAGCUAAAGAAACUGAAAUAAAUACAUACACACAAUGCAUUCCUUUCAGUUUGUUUGAAAUAGCAAAAAGGUGCUUUGUGGUGGAGAUACAUUAUUGAUUAAUUUGUUACUUGGUGCACAAUUAUUUAGCAAAAAUAACGUAGCUUUUUUUUAUUUAGGUGCCUAAUUUUUAUGAUGCGGUGCUAUUUUUGGAAUAUAUUUACAUACGAUGGAACUGGAAAUGGGUAACGGGUGUAAGUGAACUGGAGAAGUUUAAUUUGUUUAUAUUAGAAUAAGUGAUACCUCAGAAAUUAUAUGGUAACCGUAUACAAAUAUGUACAAGCCCAAUACAAACUUAUGGGUCAGGUGACCUGUUAAUUAAAAGGACAUGACACCAUCAACUUUAAAUUAAGAAGAGAUAAAUUUACCAUAAGAAGAGGAAAGGUAUUCUACGAUUACGAACAAUAACACAUGUUUAUCUGCCUGGAGAUUUAAAUUUUUUUUUAUUUAUGCCUUAAAAAAAGUGUGGAUAGGAGAUAAUGGAGUUAAAAAACGGUACGCAGGCGGAGCCUAACUGCUGAGGCAAGCAGACACAAGACCCAAGAGCUCUGAGCAAAAACUGAGAAAAUACCCCAAAAAACGACUGAUAAUACCUCAAAAAACCGCUGACCACAGGCAGGAACACCUUAAGCCACCAUGGGAUGGAAAACCAAGAAACAAAUGCAAGAUACACCAGCCACAGGACUCACAAUAGGGGAAAUAUGGCGGCAGGCAUGUGGCCCGAGCAGAUCCAAUAUGGCGGCGCUCCACGGAGGCUGCACGGAUUUCUCAGAUCAUUAUUCAGGGGACGAAGAAACCCAGCAAAUCCAGGAAAGACCCUGAUGCCAAACUGGUGACUACUGGGGUACUGAAGUCCCUGCUAGCAGACCUACAGAAAAACAUCCUAGCGGAUGUCAUCGCACUAAGGGGAGAGCUGCAGGGCCUGACAGGCCGCAUCACAGCGCUAGAGGAAUCCUCCCAAGAACAGCAGCGCACCAUAACCUCGCUGCAGAACGACAUGCGGGACCUGCGCCGCCAAAAUGAGCUGUAUGAACGGCGCUUCGCAGCCCAGGAGGACACUAGACGAAGACUCAACAUAAAGGUCAGGGGGAUUUCGGAGGGGUUACCAGGGAAGGAUUUGCCGCGCACGAUCAAGCGCAUACUAACCACAACAUUACCCCCAGACCAAGCCAAUGCCAUCACACCUACAAAUCUCUUCCGAAUCCCAACACCCGAUGGGGCCCCAGACACGGUCUCAAAAGACACUAUCCUCACCUUUGGAAAUUGGUCAGACAAAUCGAAGGUCCUCUCAGCGGUCCGGGGUAAAGCCCCCGUUCAGUUUGAAAAAACAAAAUUGACCUUCUACGCCGACCUGUCCAUCGGAAACCUGGCACGGCGCAGGUCACUCUGGCCCCUCACCUCCACACUCCAGCUCAAUAACAAACCAUAUCGCUGGCGAUCCUCACACACGCUCCUAGUGCAACACGGUGAAACAACACACCAAAUCUACAGCAUACAAGAUGCAGAGGCUCUCCUACAAACCUUGGGAUUGUCACAGGACAUACUCUCCUGGGAGGGACCCUGUGCCCACGCCACCCUGACCCACAACUGGGACCCGGCAAGAAGUGCCCCGUUCAGACCACGGAGCACCACACCGAUAAACUACACCCCGGUUACCACAUAAAUGGAACUGAAGGGCACAGCCCCCAACCUCAGCAACACCAUAACAUGUCCACACCGUCCUACCGAGAAAUGGAGUACCACACCGGAACCUCUCUAAUGCCUCGCGAUACACCGGCUGGCGAGACCAACACCCAAGACCUAGAGAACUCUUUCCUUCUCUCAUGCUCUAUCUAACUCUCAUUACUUACGCCAGCUAAUGGAGCAAGACCUAAGCCUGGGGAACCCCGGGAGACUCCGAAGCUACGAAUAUCAUGCCUAAGAUAGUCCAUCUACAGCAUUAAGUAUAUAGUUAUUGCUCGUUUAAGUAUCAAAUAAUCUACUCAUUCAGCUUUUCAUACUUUUAAGUCACACAAUCACCAUUUGCUUUGGCUUGCUCUCUCCUGCCUCGCUUACAAGCGAAAAAAAAGGUCAGCAAUAGCUUAAAUAAAUCCCAGAUAUCCUGGCACAUAUGUAACAGUAAAGCGCAGUAGCUAUAUACACACUCUAAACCACGCUGACACUGCAUUCCAACAGCCACGCACAACACCCAGAAAGCCUAUGUACCCUCAAUAAGUCACUAGCCUGUGGAGUUGGGGCCUCCCAGCCUAAACACACACGGCACAGAGUACAUGGGCAACACAUCGCAACUAGAUAAAGCUACACUACAAAACUCAGUACGCGCCAACUCAGUACGCUUACACUAGCAUAGCAGACCUAGAAAAACUACACACCGAGCACCUCUCAUUUUACUAUAUUGUACCUUAACUUCAUCCCAACGACACAACUCUUUAGUUAAACUUAGAAAACUAUAAAAACUGGGCCAAAUAUCAGGUUACUGUUUACCGCCUGAGAAGCUGGUACUACGCCGAUGUGGCACCUACUGACAAUAGGUAACCCCUUGCAAGUUACAAAACGUACCUUAUGCCCACUGCAUACGUAUACCUUUACCGAUAUUACUUCCAUAAAACUCUUGAAAAUGAAUGCCGUAUACUUAGCAGUCGCAGUAAAGCUAUGAUCAAUGUACCUGGUUUAAAUAAGUUCCAUCAUAUCUAGUAUUGAUGAGUCACCAUUGAUUUAUUUCACUGUAUUUUAGUUAAUCCUACCUUAUCGAUUUAGCUAUCUAGUCAAGCAUGUUUAAAAACAUAAAACUGUGCAAAUUCUCACGCCACUGUUAAACUGUCGUGAAUUUUGAAAUACGCUGUUGUGGCGUCCGUUGAUACCCUGUACUCACCUGCACAACAAAAAUAAAGAAUAAAAAAAUAAAAAUAAAGUAUGGAUGAUUUUUUUUAGCGCAAUAUAUGAUAUAUAGGGAUAUGAGUAAACAAGGUUUGUUUUUUUACUUUUUUCUUUUUUUAAACAGGAAUGAAUAAACAACUGAACAUGAACGAAAAAGUAUUUUUUUUUUGUCAAUAUUCUAUCUAUCUUUCAAAAUGUUUUUAUCAAACAGGAAUAAUGUUUUCUUUAGAUUGAUGACGAUACAGCUGGUCAAAUAUAGAAGUCACUCAUCGUAGAACAAUUUCUGUUGCAGCUUUUAGUAACCAGACAAAUCACACACAUUUAAGAAAAUUGUAGUUCGGUGGUCCAUUCACAAUAGAUGAAAUUGCACUCGAGAUGAAGAUUUUGAAAUGAAACAAUUACAACGAAAGGAAAGGUAUUUAAAACACAUAACAAAACUAAAUAUGCUGAACAUAGCUGCAAAAUAGCAGUGUCCAUAAUAAGAUCUGACCUGAAAGACACAAGAAAAAGAGAAUAAAAUGACUGAACACAAGUCUCUCACUAAUUUUCAGUUGACGAUAAAAAGGAAAAAGCCUUUUCUAAAUUCUUACCCAUAUUUCAAAUGUAUAUUUGAAAAAUCAUGUAUAAACAACAUGAUAAGAAGGACAGAAUACCCUGGAAAUAUUCUGUUACUCGGCCAUAUGAGAUCUGAAUGGAAAUUAAUAAAUAAAUGUAAUACUUGGUUGGACAUAAGGAAUGCAAAACACACUUCAUUGCAUUGUAAGAGCUUUAAGUGUUGUUCAGAUGACCAAAUUGUCGAUCUUAUAGUACUAGAAAAACUUGUAUAAAUUGACUCCCACUGUAAAAUAAAGUGUUAUAGAUUGUUCUGUAUCCACGCAGAUUGAAUGAGUUCUCACAAUUUGUAUCGAGUGUGUUGUAACUGUGUUUUUUAAAUCACAUUUUUAUAUCACAGGACAAUGUCGUGAAACGAAACACAGAGGGAAUAUGCGGAAUGUGUGUCAGAGGGUAGAGAGAAUGAGGAGAAGAGGAAACUGGAG